RNAcentral lists this non-coding RNA (27 nucleotides) under Homo sapiens (human). Lineage: Eukaryota; Metazoa; Chordata; Mammalia; Primates; Hominidae. The record is from RNAcentral.
CACUCAAGACACAGUGAGAUUUGUGCA